This 253-nucleotide ribosomal RNA is filed under the name uncultured bacterium. Its description in RNAcentral is "partial 16S ribosomal RNA". It matches the Rfam family "Bacterial small subunit ribosomal RNA", at positions 524 to 776 of the family's 1533-position model. The record is from RNAcentral.
UACGUAAGGACCGAGCGUUGUCCGGAAUCAUUGGGCGUAAAGAGCGUGUAGGCGGUUUGUUAAGUCAUGUGUGAAAUCCCUCGGCUCAACCGGGGAACGACGCAUGAAACUGGCAAGCUAGAGUACCAAAGAGGGGGGUGGAAUUCCCGGUGUAGUGGUGAAAUGCGUAGAUAUCGGGAGGAACACCAGUGGCGAAGGCGACUUUCUGGCCUGUUCUUGACGCUGAGGCGCGAAAGCUAGGGGAGCAAACGGG